UACGUAGGGAGCAAGCGUUGUCCGGAAUCAUUGGGCGUAAAGCGCGCGUAGGUGGUCCCGUAAGUCCGCUGUGAAAGUCAAAGGCUCAACCUUUGAAAGCCGGUGGAUACUGUGGGACUAGAGUACGGAAGAGGCGAGUGGAAUUCCUGGUGUAGCGGUGGAAUGCGCAGAUAUCGGGAGGAACACCAAUAGCGAAGGCAGCUCGCUGGGACGUUACUGACACUGAGGCGCGAAAGCGUGGGGAG
Molecule: ribosomal RNA, 245 nt
Filed under: uncultured bacterium
Lineage: Bacteria
Description: partial 16S ribosomal RNA
Rfam family: Bacterial small subunit ribosomal RNA
Source: RNAcentral